RNAcentral lists this long non-coding RNA (3669 nucleotides) under Capra hircus (goat). RNAcentral describes it as "lncRNA (ENSCHIG00010008728.1)". The record is from RNAcentral. Lineage: Eukaryota; Metazoa; Chordata; Mammalia; Artiodactyla; Bovidae.
AUGUGGGUGGAGAGGGGGCAUGGCGGCAGGGAGCAGAGGGUAGAGACGAGUGUCUUUAAAUCAGCAGAACAAUCAGUACUAGGCAGGGGCAAUUUUGAAAUUAGGCUUCGGAUUCUAUUUUAUCUUAUUUUUUAUGAAAAGGACCAGCUUCUCUCUGAUGAAGAAGUCCUGCUGCUCUAUUGUUACAAUCUCACCUCCACUCAUACAGUUUCACGCCGUUACAUUUCUGACCCACUUUCUUCAUCUCCUUUGCUUGUUUCCUUCAAGAGCAGUUUUAGCUCCCAACCCCAGCUAGCACCUUGCUUAAAUUGCUUUAAUCUCCAAGUGCUUCUUAUAUUGAUUUUAAACAGUUAAGCUGCCAAUCAACUGCUCUCCUUGCGCAGCAGCUGAGGGCGAAGAGAUUAAAACAACAAACAAAUAAGGCCGAGCUAAGAAGUUGGUUAGAAUUUCCAAGUGAAUGUCAGCACCUACCAGCAGUGUCUCUUUCCCCCUCCCAUCAUGAAGGUGCAAAGUUAUUACAAACAGACUGUGCCUGGCUUUGUAAUGUUAACAAUAGCAGGCAUUUAAUGANNNNNNNNNNNNNNNNNNNNNNNNNNNNNNNNNNNNNNNNNNNNNNNNNNNNNNNNNNNNNNNNNNNNNNNNNNNGUGGUAAGUCAUAUCAUUAUUCUGCUCUAGUAGGAGAGGAAAUCGAGGCAUAGAAAAGUGAAGUGACCCAUCUAAGGUCACCUUAGCUAGUGAAUGGUAGGGCAAGGUCCCAAAUGCAGUCUGUCUUCAGCAUAUGAACUAGUAGCCAGUGCGCUAUAUGGACUCCUUCAGCUUGUUGCAGAAUCUCCCUUAGGCUGUAGCAAAGAGCAAAACAGGAAUGCCAACUUCCAACAAACAGAGGGGAGACUGGUCAAAAUACGUGAAAGUUAAGUACGUCUUGCUUCUUAAUCUAAUGAACAUUCAUGAAGCUCUGGUUAACCCAGCUCGACACUGGGGAUACAGAGAUAGGUUAGUUUGGGUUCUCAGAGAUCUCAAAAUCUAAUGGAGUCUAAUCACAGAGAAGCACGUCACCUGGGAAUGCUGGUGAAGGAGGAGAGGCAGGCAAGUGAGCCAACAGUUCUUAAUCUUUCGAGAUAUAACUCACACCUCACCCCUUCUAGGAAGCCUUCCCUGACCGCCUUCGCUGGCUCUUCUCUUGUCAGAGCACUCACUCUUGAGCACCGAAGCGGCAGAAACACUUGUCUGUUUCUCUAGCUAGAUAAGGGGCCUGAAAAUGCCAUCUUGAGACCCCUUAUCUAGCUGGGCCGCCAUCUGCUUUCAUAAAUAAGAGUUUGACUGAAACACAGUUGUGGCCAUUUGUUUACAUAUUGUCCAUGACUGCUUUUAAGCUACAAGAGUGCAGUCAAACAGUUGCAUCAGAGACUAUCCGGCCUGUGAAGCCAAAGCUAAUUACUAUCUAGCUUUUUUCAUAAAAAUUUGCUGACCCCUAUACUAAGGCUAUCAGUAUUUUCAGGGCAAGAAGCUUGCUCUUUACUUCUGAAUCUGUGGUAGCCAUCCCUGAAUGAAUAGGAUCAUUCUGGGUAAAUCUCACUGAAGCAUCAUUUUUAAGUUUGGCCUGGGAUAGAGUCUUAAAAUGAAGGUCCCUGCUAGACAGAGAGGCAGAGCGAAUGCUGGAACUCCCGCUCAGCUCUCUUGUUUCUUGGCUCAGCGCACACCCCAUCAAUGACAGAGCAAAUGGCUGGGUGAUUUAGCAACCAAACCCAGGACUGCUGGAGUCACUCUGUAAGAACUAACAUCCACAACGAAGAGCGGCUUGGGUACAGACAGAGGGAACAAAGCGGAGACAAAGGGAAAAUAGACCUGCAUGAGAUGAUUUGCCGCUUUAAUUUUCCUAGGGGGUGACAUAACUUUGUAACAGGUAGGUUAUUUUGGUUCUUCAUUAGGACCCUUAUUAUUAGAUAACAUGGUGUUGGAUGUAUCUAACUGCACCUGCUGUGUUAGAGAUCGUGAAGUGGAGUGCAUAAUAUCACAUCUGUCUUGGGAAGGACCAAGUGGGAGUGGGCGUGAGGGUGGGCAAACAACAGAUUGGAUGGCGGGUAGAAAUUACCUGCAAGAUUUCCGUGCUCUGAGCUGGUAACAGGCCCAGUGUGUUUGAAUGAACAUUCUAUCUGAGCAAUUGCUGGCAAGAGGGUCAUCCAUCUUGAAAGAGAACAAUUUUGCUCGAAUCACAGUGUGCCCAGCAAGAGCUCAGCUGGUCUGAACAUUUUUGGUAUCUUGGCCGGCAGUUUUCUCCCAAGUGGUAUGCGGGGAACAGUUAAGUUUUCAGAGGACAGGCUGCAGUGUGCAGAGAGGCCUAGGAGUCAGGAGGGAGGCGUUAACCUGCUGAAAAAGGCUGACCCACGAUACCUAAUUUAUAAAACUCAGACAUUGCCAGAGUGAGACGGGCUGGACUUCUGUUGUUGCUAUGGGAAAUCUUGCUGUGUUGGGUUCCAUGUGAACUUGAGUCAAAACGCCCUGAAGGCUGUCAGCUCCUAUAUUCUUCUUUCCUUGUGGGCCAGCUGAGAAUCUCCAUUCAUCUGUUGUAGGUGGCCGGGUCAUCGGAACUUUAGGUUCAAAGGGAUCUUAAAAAUGAGGUUCUAGGCCCCGAGCCUAUUACACAGAGUGAAGUAAGUUAGAAAANNNNNNNNNNNNNNNNNNNNNNNNNNNNNNNNNNNNNNNNNNNNNNNNNNNNNNNNNNNNNNNNNNNNNNNNNNNNNNNNNNNNNNNNNNNNNNNNNNNUAAGUUAGAAAAGGAAAGACAAACAUUGUAUAUUAAUGCAUAUAUACGGAAUCUAGAUAAAUGGUACUGAUAGCAGGGCAGCAGCAGCGACUCAGAUAUAGAGAACAGACUUGUGGGCACAGCAGGGGAAGCUGAGGGUGGGGCGAAGUGACAGCGUGGCAGUGAAGCAUAUACGCUGCCAUGUGUAAAGUGGAGAGCCAGCGGGGGCUUGCUGUCUGACGCAGGGAGUUCAGCCUGGGGCUCUGCGAUGACCUAAAGGGGUGGGAUGGGGUAGAGGGAUGGAAGCAGAUUCAGGAGGGAGGGGACAUAUGUGUCCCUAGGGAUGAUUCAUGUUGUUGUAUGGCAGAAAUCAGCACAACAUUGGAAAGCAAUUAGCCCCCAAUUAAAAAUAAAUUAAAAAAAAACACUGAGGUUCUGGGAAUUCCCUGGUAGACCAGUGGUUAGGACUCUGAGCUCUCAGGGCUGAGGACCUGGAUUCAAUCACUGGUUGGGAAACAAAGAUCCCACAAGCUGUGCAGUGAGGCAAAAAGAUACAGAGGUUCUAUCAGUGGUCCCCAACAUUUUGGCACCAGGGCCUGGUUUCGUGGAAGACAAUUUUUUGACAGACUGGGAAGGGGGGAUGGUUUCGGGAUGAUUCAGGCACAUUACAUUUAUUGUGCUAUUUAUUUCUAAGCUAAAGCUGCCACUGAUCUGACAGGGGGUACCAGCCUGUGGCCCAGAGGCUGGGGACCCCUGACCUAAUCAAUAUCACAGUCCACUUAAGGAGCUCUUAUGACUGGUGGUGCUUGAAUACCUAAUUGCUUGAAUACCUCCUUUCCUGAAGACUGCAGCUCUUCCCAAAGCACACCGUAAUAUCUUAAACUGACUCAACUUUUAGAAAAUUGUGCCAUGUACUUCAUACUGUAU